UCUCAGCCCCACCCACCUCACAGGGUGUUUGUUGUGAGGGAAGAAGGGAAAGGAGUUUGUUAGCCCCUUUGAGUCUCCUUGCAGGAGAGAAAGGGGGGAUAUAAAUCCAACUCUUCUUCUUAUGAAAAGCAACCAUAAGCAUAGGGAAAGGUGUCAAAGGGAAAGGUGAUGCUCACCAAGUUAAUUUCCAAAUAAAUUAGACUUAAUCAUUAUUGUCGGCUUCGUUUUUGCAGAAAAGAGGAACAGCACACUGACUCUUCGUGUGCCUUCAUUAGUCCUUUGUGACUAGCAAAGGCUUUGCUUCAGCCCUUAAAUGCGCUGCCUCAGGACACAUUCACCCACUGCCCCGUGGUGAAUCCUUCUGCAUUCUGCAACCCUGACUGUUCAUGCUUCUUCCACACGUUUUGGGUCUUCUCAACUGCAUUUCUUGCACAUAAGAACUGGAGCCUUUUUCGUUCAGAUUGAGGUGAAGGGGGAAGGUGCCAUGCUAUGCUACAUUAAAAGGUGAAAAGAAUUCUGUGUUUCUGGGGCUUUAAAAAAACAAGAGUUUGCCUGCACUUAACAUAACUUAUCCUCUGUCCAUCAAUUGUGUAUGCUCAGAAUCAUAAUUCCUGAUUUUUCAGAAUUGAAGCCAUAUUGCUAGCCAUUUUUGAGUAGUAAUUCUGGAACUAUAAAUGUUUAAACUUCUCCAUGAAAAAGGGAAUCAGAAGUGUAUUCAGUGAGAUGUAAUUGGGUACGCAGAAUCAUUUUUAAAAUUUGAAAUGGGCAUCCUUCUUGGAAUUCAGUUAACAGCUAGAAGCAGUAACCUUGCCUCUAUUGAACCUUUAUUGUUGACGUGGUUGCAAGGGUCCAUUUCAAGUGUAUGAGUGCAUUAUGUCUUCCUUGCUCUAGGAACAAUGUACAAUGUACUACAUAUGGACUGAAACAAUCUUUACAGCAUCCUUUUUUAAAAAAAAUCAUUUUAAUACAAAUGCAUAUUUCCCAGCCAGUGCCAUGGAAGCUCCCUGUGUGACCUUGGGCCAGUCAUACUCUUUCAGCCUACCUCACAGGGUUGUUGUGAGGAUGAAAUGGGAGGAGAGGUGAAUGAUAUAAGCCGCUUCGAGUCCCUCUGAGGUGAUAGAUGGGGGACUAAUGAAGUAAAUAAGAUAAAAAUAAAUAAAAAAAUUACCUGUGUGGUGCACCCAAAAUUAAAAUUCAUGCUACAUCUUUGAUAGUGCUUUCAUAGGCUGUUCUCAUUUUGCUCACCAUUUGUGAAUGUAAAAUUUGAAGUAAAAUAUGCAUUAUAAAUGCGAACAGGGAUUUCAAAAGAAUCAUCUAAGUAAUAAGAAAGCGCUAAAGAGGCAAAGUGUGCUGCUGAAUUGCAGCCACCUCCUGGCGACCCCUAAGAAGUUUUACCUCGUGGAGAUUUUAAACCAAGAAAUGAGCAGAGGUGGUUUGCCAUUGCUUCCUUCUGCAUAGCAGCCCUUUUUUUCCUUGCAGGUGCUCUGAUGAAAUGAAGUUAGUUUGAGCUGUUAGGGCUGCUGCAGGUAACAGGAGCUAAAGUUUUAUAUAGUUGAACAUUUUUUGAGGGCCCAGAGUAACUGAGAACGGAAACAGACUGACAUAUUAAGAUUCUUGAUGAAAUUAGAAACUUGCUGUGAUGUGCAAAGAGUUCAUAGACUCUUGUUGCCAAGUAAUAAAAUCACUGCUUAAUUUCUAAAGAACGUAGUCUUCUGGCCAUAUUUCAAUUAUGUAAAUAAGAGAAAUGCUGCAGAAAUAGUGUUAAGUCAUGUUAUUUAUGUUUACAAAUGGAAUACAAUCGUAUUGCAACAGAGCCUUCACAGAGUUUGAUAAGCGAGUUGGAAGAAGGCGUUCAUGUCUUGCUUAUUUUUGAGCAAAUGCAACUUGGGUAAAGUUUGUACACAGAAAUCUUUUAAGAACGUUAACUUUUCAAACUGCCUUCAUGCCAGAAUUUAUGAAGAAUCAAACAGCACAGGGGUACCUCUGGUAAACUAAUUCAAAAAGAUUUUUUAAAAUGGCUUUUCAUUGUGUUUAUCCCCUUUAAUGCUCAAAGUGGCGCUUAGAUACUGGUAAUUCCUACGCCCAUCUGAGUCUAGGGAUCUCUUGUCAUAACAUUUCAUAACCUAAAGGAUGUUCUGAUCAAAAGAGCCUGUUUAUAGUACUGUUUUAAAGGCUAGCUUUCCCCCCUUCUAGAACGGGUUGCAAACCCCUGUUCUAGAACUAUAGUGUUAUGGGGUGUCCAUUACCAAAAGAUUCACUUUCCUGGAAAUCCGCUUAUCCUUAAUGCUCAACACAAUCAGAGGCUGGGCAUAGGUACAAAACAAAGUGGUGGAAGUCCACAUUAUUUUUAAGUUGGACGGAUUGCUGUAUUAAAACCACUUUUGGUCCUUGAAAGAGAAGGGUGAUCCACAUUUUCUUUUUUGAAACAGUUUUAUUAAGACUUUAAGGACAUCACACCAGAGGAAAGAAGCUAAACAAACCAAAACCAGACAAAUCCCCAAAAAGGGAAAGAGACCAAAAUACAUUUUAAAAAAACUUUUAAAAGGACUCCCAAUUUCAUCCACACCAAAGUAUAAACACUUAAAAGUUUACUACAUGCUCCAAAUUAGUUCUUAACUAUUACUAAUAAGGUUCACACCUAAUAUGUACUUGUUCUCUACUGAUCCAUAUUUUUAACUGAUAAUUAAGGAGGCAGCAAGACCACCUGGGAAAUCUGAGCUUGUGAGCUGACACUUGUCUAGACACUAUUAAGUAGGCAUAAUUACAACAGUUGUAAUCUGACAAAGGGAGCUUUGGCUCUCAAAAGCUGACGCCCAAAAAAUCUUGUUAGUUAAGGUACUACUGCACUUGAGUCUAGCUGAAACUGACAGUCUAAAGAGUGAGUAUCUUGGAUUCUGAAAAGCAGUUGGAUGUGUUCAACAAUUUUCUAGUUACCCAAGGUGCUCAUUGCUACUUGAGAAGGUUCCGUACUUUUAGGGGGUCAAAGUAAUGGGAGAAAGUUGUGCAUGCAUGUCUGUCAUAUAAUGACUUGCAUGUGAAAAUUAGUCACUGCAAAUAUCCCCCUUCCUCAUGCCUUAUAAUAAUACAUCCUUAAAUACAGUUCUUCCAGUGGGUUUAGUUCCCAAGUUGUACUGUAUGCUUCUGGUGAGGUAUCAUAGCUUACAGGUAGAGCACUAGGAUGCAAAAAAGUCUAGUUUUUAUGUCGGUCUACUGUGCAAGAUCUAGCUAAGGUAGCCAGUGUGGUGUUCUGGUUGAGUGUUGUACUAGGAUGUUGGAGACCUGGGUUUGAAUCCCUGCUUGUGCCAUGGAAGUUUGCUUGGUGAUCUUGGGCCUGCUUCACAGGGUUUUUGUGAAGAUUGAAUGGAGGAAAGGAGAACGACAUUUUUGGGGUCUCCACUGGGGAGAAAAGUAGAGUACAAAAUUAAAGUAUUAUAGUUGUUACCUGGUCCUUCCUCUGAGAUAGUCAGAAGGGCAUACAUCAGGGAUCUUCAAACUAUGGCCCUCCAGAUGUUCAUAGACUACAAUUCCGAUGAGCCCUACCACUUGGCCAUGCUGGCAGGGGCUGAUGGGAAUUGUAGUCCAUGAACAUCUGGAGGGCCAUAGUUUGAAGACCCCUGGCAUGCAUAAAGUUCUCUCUCAUUUUAUCCUUACAAUAACUCUGUGGGGUGGUUUAGGCUGAAAGACUGCAGUUAGUCCCAGGUCAUACAGGGAACCACAUGGCUGAGCAGGGAUUUGAACUUGCCUCCUUGGCCUGAUGAACAAUCAGGCUCAUGAUAUCACAACUUCAUUAAGAGAUAUCAGCAAAAAACCACACUGCCAUUAACACUGCAAUCCUAAACAGAGUUAUGUCCUUCUAAACCCUACGGCCUUGAGUGUGAUGCUGUUUGUGUUAAAUAAGCUGGGAUGUGAACUAGACAAACUCAGGAUGACACAUAACUGUUAGGAAAUACCUUAGUAAUUUUGAGAAGUGUCAGAGGAAAUCUGCCUUUUUUUUGUACAGUGAAACUUAGUACUGUCAAUUCAAAGUGCUGUCAAUUCGAAACGGACUUAUGGUAACCCUGUAUGGUUUUCAAAGCAAGAGACAAAUAGAGGUGGUUGGUCAUUGCCUGUCUCUGUGUCGCAACCACGGACUUCCUUGGUAGUCCCCCAUCCAAGUAUUGACCAGGGCCAGCCCUUCUUAGCUGCCAUGAUCCAAUGAGAUAGAGCUAGCCCGGACCAUCCAACAUCUUGCUACAGAAGAUCUAUGCUACAGAAGAUGAUGUAUGCUAUGAUACAGAUCUAUGCUACAGAAGAUGAGAGGGCAAGUGAUGGACCAUCCUAUACCUGCCCUGAGUUCAGUUGGAUUUGACCCUUCCCAGCUUCAGCAGCUACAUCAUGGCAGAGUGCUGAGAAGAGUGUGGCAAGUUGUUUUCUAUUUUGACUUAAUUUUUGUAUACUGUUGUCAAGUGUAUCUUAACUCUCCUGUUAAUGUAAAGAAGGUAUACAAUUUUUUUAGAAACACAAUAAAAACUAUAGUGGUUUAAUAUGUUAAA
Molecule: long non-coding RNA, 4532 nt
Organism: Sphaerodactylus townsendi
Lineage: Eukaryota; Metazoa; Chordata; Lepidosauria; Squamata; Sphaerodactylidae
Exons: 2
Source: RefSeq, a predicted model, not a curated record